RNAcentral lists this ribosomal RNA (1372 nucleotides) under uncultured bacterium. RNAcentral describes it as "bacterial SSU rRNA". It matches the Rfam family "Bacterial small subunit ribosomal RNA", at positions 28 to 1381 of the family's 1533-position model. The record is from RNAcentral.
GAUGAACGCUGGCGGCGUGCCUAAUACAUGCAAGUCGAGCGAACGGACGAGAAGCUUGCUUUUCUGAUGUUAGCGGCGGACGGGUGAGUAACACGUGGAUAACCUACCUAUAAGACUGGGAUAACUUCGGGAAACCGGAGCUAAUACCGGAUAAUAUUUUGAACCGCAUGGUUCAAAAGUGAAAGACGGUCUUGCUGUCACUUAUAGAUGGAUCCGCGCUGCAUUAGCUAGUUGGUAAGGUAACGGCUUACCAAGGCAACGAUGCAUAGCCGACCUGAGAGGGUGAUCGGCCACACUGGAACUGAGACACGGUCCAGACUCCUACGGGAGGCAGCAGUAGGGAAUCUUCCGCAAUGGGCGAAAGCCUGACGGGGCAACGCCGCGUGAGUGAUGAAGGUCUUCGGAUCGUAAAACUCUGUUAUUAGGGAAGAACAUAUGUGUAAGUAACUGUGCACAUCUUGACGGUACCUAAUCAGAAAGCCACGGCUAACUACGUGCCAGCAGCCGCGGUAAUACGUAGGUGGCAAGCGUUAUCCGGAAUUAUUGGGCGUAAAGCGCGCGUAGGCGGUUUUUUAAGUCUGAUGUGAAAGCCCACGGCUCAACCGUGGAGGGUCAUUGGAAACUGGAAAACUUGAGUGCAGAAGAGGAAAGUGGAAUUCCAUGUGUAGCGGUGAAAUGCGCAGAGAUAUGGAGGAACACCAGUGGCGAAGGCGACUUUCUGGUCUGUAACUGACGCUGAUGUGCGAAAGCGUGGGGAUCAAACAGGAUUAGAUACCCUGGUAGUCCACGCCGUAAACGAUGAGUGCUAAGUGUUAGGGGGUUUCCGCCCCUUAGUGCUGCAGCUAACGCAUUAAGCACUCCGCCUGGGGAGUACGACCGCAAGGUUGAAACUCAAAGGAAUUGACGGGGACCCGCACAAGCGGUGGAGCAUGUGGUUUAAUUCGAAGCAACGCGAAGAACCUUACCAAAUCUUGACAUCCUUUGACAACUCUAGAGAUAGAGCCUUCCCCUUCGGGGGACAAAGUGACAGGUGGUGCAUGGUUGUCGUCAGCUCGUGUCGUGAGAUGUUGGGUUAAGUCCCGCAACGAGCGCAACCCUUAAGCUUAGUUGCCAUCAUUAAGUUGGGCACUCUAAGUUGACUGCCGGUGACAAACCGGAGGAAGGUGGGGAUGACGUCAAAUCAUCAUGCCCCUUAUGAUUUGGGCUACACACGUGCUACAAUGGACAAUACAAAGGGCAGCGAAACCGCGAGGUCAAGCAAAUCCCAUAAAGUUGUUCUCAGUUCGGAUUGUAGUCUGCAACUCGACUACAUGAAGCUGGAAUCGCUAGUAAUCGUAGAUCAGCAUGCUACGGUGAAUACGUUCCCGGGUCU